UUUCCGUAGGUGAACCUGCGGAAGGAUCAUUAUCGAAUGA
RNAcentral lists this ribosomal RNA (40 nucleotides) under cf. Inocybe sp. EC99 A59. Its description in RNAcentral is "partial 18S ribosomal RNA". Lineage: Eukaryota; Fungi; Basidiomycota; Agaricomycetes; Agaricales; Cortinariaceae. The record is from RNAcentral.